This 72-nucleotide transfer RNA is filed under the name Mustela putorius furo (domestic ferret). RNAcentral's name for it is "tRNA-Glu (TTC) (tRNA-Glu-TTC-2-1)". It matches the Rfam family "tRNA". Rfam says of the family: Transfer RNA (tRNA) molecules are approximately 80 nucleotides in length. Their secondary structure includes four short double-helical elements and three loops (D, anti-codon, and T loops). Lineage: Eukaryota; Metazoa; Chordata; Mammalia; Carnivora; Mustelidae. The record is from Rfam by way of RNAcentral.
UCCCUGGUGGUCUAGUGGCUAGGAUUCGGCGCUUUCACCGCCGCGGCCCGGGUUCGACUCCCGGUCAGGGAA